This 694-nucleotide ribosomal RNA is filed under the name uncultured bacterium. RNAcentral's name for it is "bacterial SSU rRNA". It matches the Rfam family "Bacterial small subunit ribosomal RNA", at positions 28 to 720 of the family's 1533-position model. The record is from RNAcentral.
GACGAACGCUGGCGGCGUGCUUAACACAUGCAAGUCGAGGGCGUGGAGCAAUCCACGACCGGCGAACGGGUGCGUAACACGUGAGCGACCUGCCCUACCUGUGGGGGAUAGUCGGCCUAACGGCCGGGUAAUACCGCAUGCGUUCUCCUGGGGGCAUCUCCGGGAGAGGAAAGCUCUUUGGAGCGCAGGAGGAGGGGCUCGCGGCCUAUCAGCUUGUUGGUGGGGUAACGGCCUACCAAGGCGACGACGGGUAGCUGGUCUGAGAGGAUGGCCAGCCACAUUGGGACUGAGAGACGGCCCAGACUCCUACGGGGAGGCAGCAGUGGGGAAUCUUGCGCAAUGGCCGGGAGGCUGACGCAGCGACGCCGCGUGUGGGAGGACGCCUCGGGUCGUAACCACUGUUGCCCGGGACGAAUGCGGGGGAUCGCCCCUGUUGACGUACCGGGUGAGGAAGCACCGGCUAACGUCCGUGCCAGCAGCCGCGGUAAUGACGGAGGCUGCGAGCGUUGUCCGGAAGUCACUGGGCGUAAAGGGGCGCGAUAGGGCGGCCGGCAUCACGCGUGGGGUGAAAAGUCCGGGGCUCAACGUCCGGAUCGGCCUUGCGGACGGAGCGGCUCGAGCACUGUAGAGGCAGGUGGAAUUCCGGGUGUAGCGGUGGAAUGCGUAGAGAUCCGGAAGAACACCGGUGGCAGAA